This is a long non-coding RNA of Equus caballus (horse), 2192 nucleotides long. The record is from Ensembl. Lineage: Eukaryota; Metazoa; Chordata; Mammalia; Perissodactyla; Equidae.
GUAGGUAAGAACUCAGAAACAAUUUCAUGCUGAGGAGUUUAGUUUUUGUGUGCAAAGGAGGUAAGUUCAUUUUUGGAGGAGAAACAGAUUUUUGUUUCUGUCCUCCAAGAACAUGAAAAUCACGAGUACUUUUACAAGGUCUCUAUGGAUAGCCCAGUUGUCUGAAUAUGAAGUAAAAAAAUGCCCCUGGCAAUGGGAGAAGUCUGUCUGACUUGGAAGAGAAGGCAAAGUCAAUAGGACAAUUCUUCCCAACAGAAAACACAUGUGACUUUUCCCUAAGCCUUAGUUCUUUUAGGGCAGAGGGAUUUUAUGUCUCAAAACAAGUAACACUAUUCCUCCAACAAGGCAAAACUUUCUGAUGAACAAUUGCACAGAGGAUAUAAUCCUGCAUUUGAAAAACCUAGGAUAGUUCUCAUUCUUAUGGAAGUGCCCUUGGUCAAGGUCAUUUCUGCUUUUGUUAACUGUAAGUAGAGUUUAAGGAUUUUGUUUUAUGAAUGGUGGAGUAUCAUUUUGCCUACAAAGGACAUUAAAUAUUUUAGCCAGUCAGAUUAAUUGGUGCAUUUCAUUCCUCUCAGUGUAUUGUUUCCAACCAAUUGGUUCUUCUCAGUGCAGGGUUUCAAACUUUGAUUAUCAAUGGACAAAAUUCUUGAAGGGAUUUCUAGCAAUAUGAUGAACUAAAUUCCAAGAAGUCCUGUGUUCAGACAAUCUCUUGGUGUCAGUCCUCUGAUUCCUCCCUUUUUCCUGACCUUUCUCCAAGCUAUGUUCUUCUCCAUUCUUCACAUUGCUUAGAGACAUUCUCAAACCUAUGAGAUUUCUGGGGUCAAUGUUUGCUCUGAAACAGAAGCCAGGGCAAAUUUUUAAAAUUCCCAGAUCCUGCCAGAGAUAUAUGCAAACACCACAAUAUUCAAUAUAUGUUUAAUUAUGUUUAAUAUAUGGUCCAUUAUAGUAAAACUCAGGGAACAAAUGGUGCUGACACGGCAAAGACAUUCCUUUAAAUGGAGAAUCUCCUUUCAUAAAACCAAGACUUUGUCCUUAUGAUGGAGUGGAGACAAUAAAAAAUCUAGGUGUAUGAUUAAAUCUGUGAUGUGCCACAGGGAUCUGUUCCUGAAACUGACACUAAACUGAAUUAACUCCUGUUACUUUUCUCUUAUAUCUCUUGAAAUUAGCAUGCACUCCUCUAAAGCUUCCACUUAAAAAUGUGGCUGGCCCUUCAAUAUAGAGGGACGAUUUAUCAUCAAGGAUGAUAAGCUUUUAUUCCUGUACUAGAAAGAUCAAACUGUUAGAGAAAUUCCUGAUUGUCGAUGAAUCGAUGUUGCAUAGGAAUAUGGCUCACUUUCCCCAUAUUUCAGUAGCUACCUCCGUGAAUAAGAAUUUCUGUCCUUUGCCAGGAUCUGUCACAAAUACACUUACCCAUCCCCAAGCCCAAUGUGUCCUUCUGUUUCAUGUCUAAACUGCAAAAUCAUAAAAGGCUAGUGAUAAGCUUCUAAAAAAAAUAGAAUCCCCUGGAAGAGAUUAAAAAUGCUGCUCGUCAAAGAAAUCAUUACCUUCAAAGAUGAGACUCAUUGCAAAGAGCCUUCAAUCAAUAAAAUCUAUCAAGACAAAUUUCAGAUCUUUCCUUCCUUCCUUUCCCUCCUCCUUCCUUCCUCCCUUUCUCUUUCUUCCUGCUUUUCUUUCUUUCUUUCUCUAAUUCUCCCUUCCUAUCUUCCUUCCUCUCUUUCUUUCACUCUUCUUUCUUUUUUUUGAUUUACAGUUAUAAAGUUUCCUGUUUUAUAUUACAUGGCAGCCAUUUUCCAGGUUCCAAAACUUGGUGACGUACCAUAUUUUUCUCUGCUGAAAUGCAUUCAAUUAUGACCUCAAUAAUGAUCUUGUUCUCUUUGAUAGACUGAGCCACUUCCAAUGCCUCCUACAGUCUAAGUGAAAGCUAUCUUCCCGACAAAGAUAUCUACACAGAGAGCCAGCUCUCUCUGCAAGGCCUUUCCUAAGAAAAUCCUUCUGGUGUUGUGGUGAUGCCAAGCUUUGUGAAGCCAAAAGUGAGCAAGGAUGGUGGAAUAUAAUGCCAUUCCUGGAUAAUGAUGGACUGCUAUGAAUCGGUGCUGCAAAAACCAUCAGUGGAACGGAAAGGAGAUAAUGUGGGCAACCAAAUGAAGAAUUAGCCUAGAACACCAGGACAAAUAUCUGCAAAGGAGCACAAG